CGGAAAUCACGUCCCCGCGGCUGUUACUGACACUUCAAGAACGGAGCAGCCGCAGCCCGCAGCGUGAGAAAGAGGAUCAGAAUGCGCUGACAUAGUGAGGAGCCAUCUGGGCGUCAAGUUCUGCUGAGUGAACAUUUAGCUGGAACAAGUCCAGGCGAAUGCACCUGUAGAGGUGAAUAAAUCAGGGACCUGAUGAAGCACUGUGUGUGCGAUACGGACCGUCGCCCAACCCUCUCCCCCACCCACCUUGUUCCGUCCACUCUCCCUUGCAUGUUUGUAUGCCGCCAAGCUACAUGAAAUAAAAGAAGCUUGAUGACCCCGAGUGACCUGGCAAUGCCGGAAGCAGAUCCUGUGGGCACUACAGUAUUGCCAUGUCAGGCCUUAAUGAUGGAUACAUUUUUCAAAUGUAGCGGCCACACUCAUUAGGGGUUCGUUGGCCCCCAGUACCAAGAAGUCUUACGAGUCAGUUUUCAACAUUGCUACAACAUAAUAUUCCUUUCUCUUUUGACACACACAUUAUCCGGUCAUUUAAUGGUUUUUUACAACUUCAUCUCUCUCAUUAUACCAUAAAGUCAUAUCUAGCUUCCCAUCUCAGAAUGAAUGGUGUUCAGUUGCUGUUUUGUCGGAUUUGUUAAGUGCAUUGAGUCAGGGGAACAGCCCCCUUUUGCCAUUUGUUUCAGCAGCCCUCACUACAUCACAGUUUGUGAGCCAUGUUCUUAUUCUAUUUAGGUAUCUGGGCCUUGCUCCGAGUGUUUAUUCAGGGCACUCUUUUCGCAUUGGAACAGCUUCUGCAGCCUCCAUUCAUAAGUUACCGCCUCAUAUAAUAAAGAAAUUAGACAGAUUGAGGUCUGGUUGCUAUGCUACUUACAAACCUUAUUGUUGUAUUGAAAUGGCUGAUGUUAUUAAGUAUUUUGUGUUCGGAUUAAAUAAAAAUUUUCUGUUGCAUAUUUACAUGAUGUUAUU
Long non-coding RNA from Hyla sarda, 963 nucleotides. RefSeq lists it as uncharacterized. Lineage: Eukaryota; Metazoa; Chordata; Amphibia; Anura; Hylidae. The record is from RefSeq and is a predicted model, not a curated record. The transcript has 4 exons.